GUUGCAAAGAACUUUGAAGAGAGAGUUCAAGAGUACGUGAAACUGCUGAGAGGCAAACUGGUGGGCCCUCGAAAUCCCGUUUGCGGGGAGAUUCAGUCGGGUGUCGGCGGCCGUCUCUAAAAUGGGUCUGUCGCAACCGAAGAUCGGGGCACAUUCCGAGGGACGAGUUCCGCUGGAACCCGACGCAUUUCCCGCCCGCACGAAAGGAACGCCGCAGCCGGUCGGGUAGCUGCGCGUGUCGGCCAUGAGGACGUUGCAACGGCAGGUGACCGGCGGCCCUAGGCCUCUCCGGAGGCACUAACGGUCGACGGUUGAUUAGCCGGCUCGUCCGUGGCGCGACACCCGACCGAGGUAAAGAGAGAGACAGAGACGGGGAUACGUCUCCACGGAGACGUCCCCGUCUGCAAUCCACUACUUUCAAACGAGAGAGCGAGCCGUCGGACAGGCGCGUUCCUGCGUGGUCGGACAGUCACCGCACUGGUCGAUCUGGUGGGAGCGCGUCGAUCGUACCGAGUCAGGAUCUCGCGGAGGAUGAAGGCUGGCGGCGAGUAGGUCGGUAACCCACCCGACCCGUCUUGAAACACGGACCAAGGAGUCUAACAUGUGCGCAAGUCGCGGGGUCUUGUUCAGGCCCAAAGGCGAAAUGAAAGUGAAGGCCGCCGCUUCCCCUUAUUCAGUUAGGGGCGGAGUGAGGCGGCCAGGUCGGGACUCGCACGUGACACGGGACGUGACGAAGCACCGACGACCCGCCCUGUUCUAUCUUCUCGAUAGGAACUCAAACGGAGUUUGAGCGCACACGUUGGGACCCGAAAGAUGGUGAACUAUGCCUGGGCAGGACGAAGCCAGAGGAAACUCUGGUGGAGGUCCGCAGCGGUUCUGACGU
This 883-nucleotide ribosomal RNA is filed under the name Atypoides riversi. RNAcentral describes it as "eukaryotic LSU rRNA". It matches the Rfam family "Eukaryotic large subunit ribosomal RNA", at positions 363 to 892 of the family's 3401-position model. Lineage: Eukaryota; Metazoa; Arthropoda; Arachnida; Araneae; Antrodiaetidae. The record is from RNAcentral.